UCAUGGCUCAGAUUGAACGCUGGCGGCAGGCCUAACACAUGCAAGUCGAGCGGAAACGACAACAUUGAAUCUUCGGAGGAUUUGUUGGGCGUCGAGCGGCGGACGGGUGAGUAAUGCCUAGGAAAUUGCCUUGAUGUGGGGGAUAACCAUUGGAAACGAUGGCUAAUACCGCAUAAUGCCUACGGGCCAAAGAGGGGGAUCUUCGGACCUCUCGCGUCAAGAUAUGCCUAGGUGGGAUUAGCUAGUUGGUGAGGUAAUGGCUCACCAAGGCGACGAUCCCUAGCUGGUCUGAGAGGAUGAUCAGCCACACUGGAACUGAGACACGGUCCAGACUCCUACGGGAGGCAGCAGUGGGGAAUAUUGCACAAUGGGCGAAAGCCUGAUGCAGCCAUGCCGCGUGUAUGAAGAAGGCCUUCGGGUUGUAAAGUACUUUCAGUUGUGAGGAAGGGUGUGUAGUUAAUAGCUGCGCAUCUUGACGUUAGCAACAGAAGAAGCACCGGCUAACUCCGUGCCAGCCGCG
Molecule: ribosomal RNA, 520 nt
Filed under: Vibrio tasmaniensis
Lineage: Bacteria; Pseudomonadati; Pseudomonadota; Gammaproteobacteria; Vibrionales; Vibrionaceae
Description: bacterial SSU rRNA
Rfam family: Bacterial small subunit ribosomal RNA
Source: RNAcentral